AGCCAGGUGACUAGCUCAAUCAAUCAAUGGGAUGCCAGAGAUAAAGCCAGGUCUUUAAGGAAGAAUGGGAGCCUCAUUACUCUUCCACAGAGAGCUCUUCCACUGUCUGCAGGCAGAGAGGUCUGAGGCCUCAGGGGCUGGAGGAAACGUAGAGUGGAAGGAAUGUGGGUCCCUGAAUCACUGCCUUUGGGAAGAGCAUCCGCUGCAGCCAGGGGUGCUGGCACUGGACCCUUACAUAGGCAACUCUCCUUUGUCUGUUAUGUGCCUGGCACCCUGCUAGGCCAGCCUCACCUUCAAGGAGCUCACUGACCCAGCAUCCAGCUGGAGGAGCAGGUUUUAAGGGGUUACUUGCCAUGGCCAUCUGGCUGGCCCUCGGCCUGCUCUCUCCUGACAUCAAGCCAUCUGAAGGCCAGGCUCUGACGUGGCCACUCCAGGCUCCUUUGGAUUUGGCAGCCGCCUGUCAUUGCUCAGUCCUCAGGCCUCUGAAGGUUGAUCGGCGCCUCCUGGACCCACCCAUGGACUCUUCUUGGCUGAGUUGCUCUUUUACAUUUAUUUGUCUGCUUUUGAUUAAUACUUGUCCCCACCAGAGACUGUCAGCAACAACAAGGACAGUUUUCAGUCACCACUGUAUGCCCCGCACCCAGCAGGGGGCCUGGGGCACAGCAGCCCCGUGCCAAGUAGUACUGAGUGGCGGGCUGACUCCCGGAUGGGCAAACUCCCCCAACUUUCUCCUCUUUUUAUUCUGUUUUGGUUCUGAGCCUUUUCUGCAUCACAGAACACUGAGAACUCGGCUAAAACCCUCCAGGACAACGUGUGGGCACCAUCACACGCGGGACCCUCGUCCCUCCUGAAGCCGGCCAGGUCAAGGGUCCCCGGGUCAAGGGUUCUUGUCUAAAAGCUCCAGGCUCCAUCUGGCCCCUGCUGACACCCUCCUGGACCUGAGGUCCAGCUCAUGUGGGAGUGGGAGGGAGCACCAGCAGGCCCUGCAGAUGAUGGCUAAUGGAGGAAGGGCCGGCGAGCGAGGAGCAGGCCGGGAGGGGAGAGACGCUGACGAGAAAGCCCGGAACUGAGGCUUCUUCCUGUGUGUGGGGCUGGAGGUGGGAAAUCAUGGAGGCUUCCAGGGAGAUUUGGGCUGUUCCUCACCUUGGAGAUAAUGGACUGAAUCCAUGUUGCCCCGAACUUGCUCCAUCCCUGGGCUUUACCCCGAGUCUGAGGUUUAACACGGUCCCCUCUGGCAGCUGAAUUCAGAGGGCAGAGUCUCGGAGUUUUUAGAAUAGAAAAUAGCCUCAGACAUCAUGAACCAAGCUGCUCUGUGAUGAGGAUCAGGGCUGCCCCAGGGAGAAGCCCAAGGCAUCCUGCCCUACAUACUGAUCUGUAUCAUCCUCCGGGAGCAUAGGAUGUCCUGACUUAAUCCGAUCUGAUUCUUAUCUAAAGUUAUAGGACCACCCGAUAACCAGACCCCACCUGCACUGAUACCAUUUUUAUGAUUUUUUUUCAUGAUCUUUCCUUUGUCUUGUAAAGAAAUAACUCACAUACCUAUGCCUUAUAAAUUUAGCCCUGCCCUCAGCCCACUGCAGCUCUUACUGCCCGUGGGUCCUGUCCCCAUGCUAUUCCAUACUAUUCUCUGAAUAAAAGAGCACUACUGCCAGACCUUGAGGGUCCAAGAAAUCUUUCUUUUGACUCCUCAACUCACCGAGCCCGCAUC
This 1705-nucleotide long non-coding RNA is filed under the name Equus caballus (horse). RNAcentral describes it as "lncRNA (ENSECAG00000057608.1)". The record is from RNAcentral. Lineage: Eukaryota; Metazoa; Chordata; Mammalia; Perissodactyla; Equidae.